Molecule: long non-coding RNA, 485 nt
Organism: Oreochromis aureus
Lineage: Eukaryota; Metazoa; Chordata; Actinopteri; Cichliformes; Cichlidae
Source: Ensembl
GAGAACAAGAAAGAAGUGAGACAGAGAAGCACGAUGGAUGAAUUCAGAUGGAUUCAAAUGUUUUUAUGUCUGAUGCUGAUGAUUCAGAUUGCAGUCUUCUCAACAGUAUCUGUAAAUGAAACAUCCAUGUUUAUGAAAGUUGGAGAUGACGUCACUCUGCUUUGUCUAAAUGUGAUAGAUGAGCAGAAUAACUGUGACGGUACUACGUGGACGUUUGCUUCAAGAAACAAACCAGCAACAGUAGAGCUGAUCACACUUGGACAGAUUGGUAAAGAAGCCAAAACUAAAUCAGACAGACUGAGUGUUACAGCGAACUGUUCUCUGCUUAUAAAGAAGCUCACAGUUGAGGAUGUUGGUCUUUAUUUCUGUCAACAAUACAAAGUCGAGGAAACACCAUCUAAAUACACUCUGGUUCAUCAGUCUUUGGUUGAUCUCUCUGUUAUUACCUUGACUGAACAUAAGGACACUGAUAAGGUGAAGUUAAG